UUUUUUUUCUGAUUGCAGAGGUCAUAUGUAUUCUGUGUGGAGAAUUUGGAAGAUGAAGAAAAGUACAAAUCCUAUCAACUGUAACAUCUCCUGCAUUUCAUAAAACAAUGAUAUCACUCCCAAAUGUGUAAAUGAGAGGCUUAUUUUAAGAACACAAUUUUUCUUUUCCAUUAAAUUUGCAUCUAGUAGAGUAAGCUUAGGGAGAAAUUAGCCCUUCUGAUUGUUAUUUAGCAUUAUUUUACUUUGUGUUUACUUACACACAUUUUUUUUUUUUUUAAUGGCCACACCAGCAGCAUAUGGAAAUUCCUGGGCCAGGGGUUGAAUCUGAGCCGCAGCUGUGGAAAUGCCAGAUCCUUUUAAAACCACUGUGCCAGGCCAGGGAUUAAGCCUGAAGUGUCUCAGCAGCUAUCUGAGCCAAUGCCGUCACAUUCUUAACCCACUGGGCCACAGCGGGAACUCCUUCCUUACAUUAUUAUUACUAAAAGUAAACUCUCUUCCCGGAGCACUUAGCAUGUGUGGGGCAGAAUGCUAAGCACAGCACAUGAAUUAUCUCACUUUGUCCUCCCAAGAAACCCAGAAGAUUGGCAUGAAUUCCGUUAACUUAAUACAGGUGGGUUAGUGGAAGAAUCAGAGUGAUUAUAUAAGGCAGCCAAGGUCCCUCAGCUGGUAAUGUGGGAAACCAGGAUUCAUACCCAAUCCUCUGCAAUCAUUCCACUCCCUCAUCGGGGAAAGGAACGGAGGGAAGGAGGGAAUUUAUGGAACCUCGCCUUGUCAGUCCUGGUGCUGGUUGCGUGCCUUGCUGAUCGUGUUCAAUCUUCACAGCCUCACAAGAUUCUUGUCUCUGGAUGUCCCUCACACUAUCACAGUGGUGAAACUCUCUCACAGACUUGUCUCAUCUUUCAGCAGUAGGUAUUCAGAUCUAGUUUCACUAGUGAAAUGGAAAUGGGGCCAUGGAACUCCUCACAGUGUCUUGCUGGAAGUAGAAUCUGAUUGUAAUUAAUUGGAAAUCACACACAUUCUCAUACACACUCGUGAGUAUACAUAGACACAUGCUUUACUAAUACAUUAUGCAUGUUAUAAAUGACUUACUCUAUGCAUUUUUGAAUGAUGAAAUUAUUCUAAAUAAACUUUUUGAAAGAUACUUCGUAUUUAUGUGC
This 1157-nucleotide long non-coding RNA is filed under the name Sus scrofa (pig). RNAcentral describes it as "lncRNA (ENSSSCG00015000622.1)". The record is from RNAcentral. Lineage: Eukaryota; Metazoa; Chordata; Mammalia; Artiodactyla; Suidae.